CGAAUGGGCGAAAGCCUGACGCAGCGACGCCGCGUGCGGAGAAGGCCUUCGGGUGUAACCGCUUCAGGAGGGACGAAGCCACUCGGGUUAAUAGCCCAGAGGGUGACGGUACCUCCAGAAGAAGCCCCGGCUAACUACGUGCCAGCAGCCGCGGUAAUACGUAGGGGGCAAGCGUUGUCCGGAUUUAUUGGGCGUAAAGCGCGUGUAGGCGGCCAGGUAGGUCCGUUGUGAAAACUCGAGGCUCAACCUCGAGACGUCGACGGAAACCAUCUGGCUAGAGUCCGGAAAAGGAGAGUGGAAUUCCUGGUGUAGCGGUGAAAUGCGCAGAUAUCAGGAAGAACACCCGUGGCGAAGGCGGCUCUCUGGGACGGUACUGACGCUGAGACGCGAAAGCGUGGGGAGCGAACAGGAUUAGAUACCCUGGUAGUCCACGCCGUAAACGAUGGGAACUAGGUGUGGGCGGUGUCGACUCCGUCCGUGCCGAAGCUAACGCAUUAAGUUCCCCGCCUGGGGAGUACGGCCGCAAGGCUA
RNAcentral lists this ribosomal RNA (531 nucleotides) under uncultured Actinomycetes bacterium. RNAcentral describes it as "bacterial SSU rRNA". It matches the Rfam family "Bacterial small subunit ribosomal RNA", at positions 367 to 896 of the family's 1533-position model. Lineage: Bacteria; Bacillati; Actinomycetota; Actinomycetes. The record is from RNAcentral.